Molecule: ribosomal RNA, 491 nt
Filed under: uncultured bacterium
Lineage: Bacteria
Description: partial 16S ribosomal RNA
Rfam family: Bacterial small subunit ribosomal RNA
Source: RNAcentral
AGUGAACGCUGGCGGUAGGCCUAACACAUGCAAGCCGAACGGCAGCACAGUAAGAGCUUGCUCUUACGGGUGGCGAGUGGCGGACGGGUGAGGAAUACAUCGGAAUCUACUUUUUCGUGGGGGAUAACGUAGGGAAACUUACGCUAAUACCGCAUACGACCUACGGGUGAAAGCAGGGGAUCUUCGGACCUUGCGCGAUUGAAUGAGCCGAUGUCGGAUUAGCUAGUUGGCGGGGUAAAGGCCCACCAAGGCGACGAUCCGUAGCUGGUCUGAGAGGAUGAUCAGCCACACUGGAACUGAGACACGGUCCAGACUCCUACGGGAGGCAGCAGUGGGGAAUAUUGGACAGUGGGCGCAAGCCUGAUCCAGCCAUACCGCGUGGGUGAAGAAGGCCUUCGGGUUGUAAAGCCCUUUUGUUGGGAAAGAAAAGCAGCAGGUUAAUACCCCGCUGUUCUGACGGUACCCAAAGAAUAAGCACCGGCUAACUUCGU